RNAcentral lists this ribosomal RNA (429 nucleotides) under Bacteroidota bacterium. RNAcentral describes it as "Bacteroidetes bacterium partial 16S ribosomal RNA". It matches the Rfam family "Bacterial small subunit ribosomal RNA", at positions 355 to 776 of the family's 1533-position model. The record is from RNAcentral. Lineage: Bacteria; Pseudomonadati; Bacteroidota.
UAGGGAAUCUUCGGCAAUGGGGGGAACCCUGACCGAGCAACGCCGCGUGAGUGAAGAAGGUUUUCGGAUCGUAAAGCUCUGUUGUUAAGGAAGAACGAGUGUGAGAAUGGAAAGUUCAUACUGUGACGGUACUUAACCAGAAAGGGACGGCUAACUACGUGCCAGCAGCCGCGGUAAUACGUAGGUCCCGAGCGUUGUCCGGAUUUAUUGGGCGUAAAGCGAGCGCAGGCGGUUAGAUAAGUCUGAAGUUAAAGGCAGUGGCUCAACCAUUGUAGGCUUUGGAAACUGUUUAACUUGAGUGCAGAAGAGGAGAGUGGAAUUCCAUGUGUAGCGGUGAAAUGCGUAGAUAUAUGGAGGAACCCCAGUGGCGAAGGCGACUCUCUGGUCUGUAACUGACGCAGAGGCUCGAAAGCGUGGGUAGCAAACAGG